RNAcentral lists this long non-coding RNA (1469 nucleotides) under Oncorhynchus kisutch (coho salmon). RNAcentral describes it as "lncRNA (ENSOKIG00005013177.1)". Lineage: Eukaryota; Metazoa; Chordata; Actinopteri; Salmoniformes; Salmonidae. The record is from RNAcentral.
CCUGUUCCCUAAAUGUCUCUGCAAGGUCCUGACAAAGAGGAUUCCAUCAAAGCAUUUCCUGGAAGAAAGAAACCAUGGCGUGAAUUCUCCACAAGUGUUGACAAUUCUGUAGAAGAGGGCUAAACGUGUUUUUGGACUUCAAUGGAACCAAACUGCGUCACCUGAGAGCGGAGGAGGUGAGAGACCGCCCCUUAUGGAACAAUAACAAAAAAUCACCUCCCCAGUGGCUUAAAAGGAGAGCACACAUACAGGCAGACAAUAUUGCAAGACUUUUAUUCUCUCUCACACACAUUCACAGAUAAAGUUUAGGCAUCGAAUAGUUGGUUCCUGGGCCUUAAACCUCCCAAGUAAGUCAAAUCUUUCCUCUUAUUGAUAAUGAUGAAAUGAAAACAUAUUGUCUAAGUGUGAAAACUAUGGAUGUUAUUAAAAGUUGUGUGAUGUUAAAAAAACGAAAUCAUUAGAUAUGUUUCUGUAGUGUCAAUGAUUGAAGUAAUUUAAACAUCCUGAUGUCUAUUGCAGCUUCCUGAUCCAUGCUCCAAAGGACAGAUCUAGGAUCAGCUCACUCUCGUCAAAUCCAAACCAGGACCUUAAUAAUCCACAAAGGGGAAAACGGACCUGAGACCAUCAUUUAAACCCCACGUCUUCCUGCCCAGACACUGCUCUCCAUCCAGAGUUCCUCCUGUGCUCCAGCUGUCCAUCCGUCUAUCCACACCCCAGCCAACCAGCCAUGGGUCUGAUGAGUGAAGACAUGAAUUGUUGCGUCUGCUUCCAACCCUACUCUCGCAGGGAGAAAAUCCCCCGGGUGCUCCACUGCGAACACACCUUCUGUGGGCCGUGCUUGGAGACAAUCUCCAGGCUCCAGAGUGGCCUCCUGACCGCGUGCUGCCCUCUGUGUCGCUGGAUCACCUGUAGCCAGGUCAGCCUACCCUUUUCUGGUUCUCUGGUUGUCAACACUGAGAUCUGGGACCAGAUAGCAGACAGACAGGAGGAAGAGGAGGAGAUGGAGGCGUGGAUACCAAAUAACAGACAGACACAGACCUCCACACAGUACAAAUGCUCUUCAUUGGGGCAUUCUGGUGUGAGGAUCAAGCACCAGAGUUUCUGGAGGAGAAUGAGGCACAAUGGUCAGAGAGCACUAAAAGAAGGGAAGAAAUUAAGGUCUUGGUUGUGUUUUGAUAGAUGAUGUCACCGUAGUAGUUUAGGACAGGAAGCAGCAGUUGGGAUACCAAGGACUUUCUUUUUUAGUAUUUCUUUUUUAUAUUUUAUACAAUAUACUGUCUACAAUCUUUAUAAUUAAAACAAAUAUGUAACCUUUAUUUGAACAUGUAUUUAUUUUGAGACCUAGUUUCUCUUUUUCAAAAGAACCCUGUAAUAUGAUUGUCCCUUUAUGUCUGAAGCGCAUAUUUUUUGUACUCAAGUGAUAUUUAUUGCUAUCAUUGUAAAAUAAAUUAAUCUGCUUUAAAAUAACU